Molecule: long non-coding RNA, 1489 nt
Filed under: Sus scrofa (pig)
Lineage: Eukaryota; Metazoa; Chordata; Mammalia; Artiodactyla; Suidae
Description: lncRNA (ENSSSCG00000041163.2)
Source: RNAcentral
CCUGGAGACCGGCUGGGCAGGCCGCACCUCCCCGCUCCCACCCCUAGGGGUCCCCGCUGCCCCGUGGAGCAUCGCCUUCCCGCUACCUGCUCUCUGUUUUCUCUCCUCCUCCCGGGGAUCGAGCCGGCCGGGACUGGCGCCUGGGGCUGAGACUCCGAUAAGUGGUGUGUUCGAGGCUGCCCGGCUCGGGGGCGGCAUGGUCAGCCUUUCCGGGUGGCCCCGCUGCCUCGAAGCCUUCACUUAACAAGCGCACGAUGGCAGGAAAGAAGGGAAGAGUUGUUCAAGCCCAUCGGAUCUGCCUAGAGAGUUUUCAGCGCGCCCCUUUGAGGGACCGGAGAGGUGGUGCCUCUCCAAACCAGGGGCCACGGUGAACGGGACGGCUUUGGAUUUGGGAGAAAAGGAUUCUCCAACCGCCUAGCGCCAAUUUAAAAAGAAAUGAUGAUGAUGAUUGUUUUAAACAAGUCUUUCUCACUUUGAAUUUGGAAGCAGAUGCUUCUCCAUGUUUCUAUGGGACAGCUGGACUCCUUGGCAGGCAUUGAUUAGGAACUGACAGCAGAGACCCGAGUUUGUGGAUGUUCGGGCUGUUGGAACAGGAAUGGUUUGUGGUUCUGAGAGUUUCUGGAGAGGAUGCCGGCCGGCUGGCCAUGCUUGGCGAUCACCUCCAGGAUGAAGGCCUGCAUGGUGGCCUCCAGCGCUUGGUCCGUGAUGCUGGCUUCAUCCAGCCGCAGCUUCUCCCCACGGGACUUGGACCAGGCCUGACGCAUGGCCUGGGGGAUGAUGCGGGUCUCCUCACCGCAGCGCACUUCCAGCUUCACAGCAGCGUAUGGAAGAUUGGACUAGGGAGUCUAAUCAGAGCUGCAGCUGCCAGUCUCCACCACAGCAGAGGCAACACUGGACCCGAAGCCGCCUCUGCAAACUGUUUCAUGGCUCGUGGCAAUGCCAGAUCCUUAAUCCACUGAGCAAGGCCAGUGAUCAAACCUGCAUCCUCAUGGACACUAUGUCAUGUUCUUAACCCACGGAGCCGCAAUGGAAUCCACACACCUUCCUUUUUUGUUAAACUUUGGUACUCAAGUUCAUGUACAAGUUUGUGCUCUUAUGCAUUAGCCCCAUCCCCACCCAUAUACAAAGUUAAUUGCACCACAGGUGGUACAUUACUGUAAACACUCAAGUCAUUGACAAUCAGAUUCUUAAACUUUUGAUAAUUUAAACUAAAAGAUGGAAUCUGCAGUUACAUACACUUAAAUUAAAAGGUCUGUUAAAGUUAGGUUUAGAGCAGUGCAAAUAGUAAAGUGAGAGCAAGGCAAACACUUCAGAGAGAAUGAUGAUAGAGGGAAAUAAGAUGACAGGCCCCGAAGCCCCUUGUUGCUUGAGAAUGGUCUUGAUUCCUGGUAUUCUGAUGUUCAGUUUAGUUCCUUUUGAUCCUUACUCUUUUUUUUCCUUUUCUUGCUUGGAUUUUAUUUAAACAAAUAUUCAUUUACAUAAAUACCCC